GACGUAGGGGGCAAGCGUUGUCCGGAUUUAUUGGGCGUAAAGAGCUCGUAGGCGGCUAAGUAAGUCGGGUGUCAAAGCCCCAGGCUCAACCUGGGAUCCCACCCGAUACUGCUUUGGCUAGAGUCCGGUAGGGGAGCGUGGAAUUCCUGGUGUAGCGGUGAAAUGCGCAGAUAUCAGGAGGAACACCAGCGGCGAAGGCGGCGCUCUGGGCCGGAACUGACGCUGAGGAGCGAAAGCGUGGGUAGCAAACAGG
RNAcentral lists this ribosomal RNA (253 nucleotides) under uncultured bacterium. RNAcentral describes it as "partial 16S ribosomal RNA". It matches the Rfam family "Bacterial small subunit ribosomal RNA", at positions 524 to 776 of the family's 1533-position model. The record is from RNAcentral.